RNAcentral lists this unclassified non-coding RNA (253 nucleotides) under uncultured Gammaproteobacteria bacterium. Its description in RNAcentral is "contains 16S-23S intergenic spacer region". It matches the Rfam family "Bacterial small subunit ribosomal RNA", at positions 524 to 776 of the family's 1533-position model. Lineage: Bacteria; Pseudomonadati; Pseudomonadota; Gammaproteobacteria. The record is from RNAcentral.
UACGGAGGGUGCGAGCGUUAAUCGGAAUUACUGGGCGUAAAGCGCACGUAGGCGGUUGAGUAAGUCGGAUGUGAAAGCCCUGGGCUUAACCUGGGAAUUGCAUCUGAUACUGCUCGGCUAGAGUAUGUUAGAGGGAAGUGGAAUUUCAGGUGUAGCGGUGAAAUGCGUAGAUAUCUGAAGGAACACCAGUGGCGAAGGCGACUUCCUGGGACAAUACUGACGCUGAGGUGCGAAAGCGUGGGGAGCAAACAGG